CUGGAGCUCGUGCGCCAGUAACCCAUUCUGGCGUAGUGUUUACUCCCAUCCCCGUUGGAGGCUAGCUGGUUGUGUUGCAAAGAAGUACAAUGCCCAGUCGGAGGCAGAGAAGCUGAAGAAGAGGAUGGACGGCAGCAAGGGCUACCUAGCUCAUGCAGCUAGUCGACAGCUAGUCGUCACACGAUGUACCCUUACGUUGUAUUUCUAGUUUUCUAGAUCCUCUGAACCCUACCUCCAAGCUCUAGUUUUUUUUUAGAGGAACCUCCAAGCUCUACUGUUAUUUCUGUGUUUAUCUUCUGUUCGGUUUUCUGCCCAGUUUUCCUUAUUUUUUUUUCGAGAUUGACAGGGAGAUUACUCCCCACCGGUUAUUGCAUUACUCAAAAAUGCAACCUGUUGGCUGUCAAGCCCCCGAGGGGGUUGCAUCAAACUACAAGUAGACGAAGAUCUACCCGUGAAGAGAGAGAGGGGGGGGGGGGCAGACGGAAUUAGAUACAAUUUAGGAGGAACGCCCGGGCAUGGAGAACGUCCUCCCUGUCCUUGGGCUUGAAACGGUGGCUCCACGUAGCCAGGUAAGACGCCGCACGGCUGAUGAUCUCAGUGACGGAGCAGGUGAUGGCGUUGAAGACGAUAUCAUUCCGCGCCUUCCAAAUGUGCCAGAGGAUGGAGCAGAUAUAGGAAGUCCACGAGUGUUGAUUGAUCUCCGGGGGAGCUGCAAGGUCCCAGACCCUAACCAUGGCGUCGAAGUGUUGGUCGAUUCCAAGAUGCGACCAGACAGCAGAGGCCCGCGGGCAACGUAAGAAGAGGUGAAUGCCAGUCUCCGGUGCACUGCAGGAGGCGCAUUCGUCCGAGGGGGCACAGUUCUUGUAGCUAGAAGAGGUUACUGUGAGUAUUGAGCCUAUCUUCAGUUGCCAGGCGAGCGAAAAUCUUGAU
RNAcentral lists this long non-coding RNA (930 nucleotides) under Brachypodium distachyon (stiff brome). RNAcentral's name for it is "long non-coding RNA (BDIS_LNC002374)". The record is from RNAcentral. Lineage: Eukaryota; Viridiplantae; Streptophyta; Magnoliopsida; Poales; Poaceae.